UUUGAGAAGAAAAAAAAAAAACAAGUAGGCCUGUCAAAGCACCAGGUUUAAAUAGGCGCUUCCUACCUACUUCACUUUACUAGCUUUGUAACCUGACCUAAGUUCUUGCAUGACACCUCUGGGCCUCUAUUUUCUCAUCUAUAUACUGGGAACAUCAGCAGCAAAGUCUCAAUUUAGGGGCUGUUGUAAAAUCACAAGUGCAGGCUCAGUGGUGGUGGUACACACCUUUAAUCCCAGCACUCGGGAGGCAGAGGCAGGCGGGAGGCCAGCCUGGUCCACAAAGCUACACAGAAAAACCCUGUCUCGAAAAACCAAACCAAGAAAAAAAACCCAAACAAACAAAAGUGCAUGUGUGUGAAGAAAUGUUUUGUAAUGACUGGUUGAGUACCAUUACCUUGUUGAAAUCUAAGGUUCACCCUUUCUUUAUGUGCUCAUUACUACCAUUUAACCAAUUAAAACUCACCUCCAUUCCAGAGAUGGUAAAAUACAGAGAAUGCAUGUAUUCUCUGCCUGAUGAGGCUAGAAAUAAUCUGUGGAAACAUGAAAAUCUGGAACAAACAAGGAAAGGUCCAAAGGAGCAGGAGCUAUUGUUACAAACUGUCAGUGGCCUGAAAGAUUGGCAUCCAAGAUUGAGAAUGAUACUUUGAAUUAAUUACAUAGCACCUUGCAGGUUAGGAUGUGGCUCAAUGGCAAAGUACUACCUAGCAUAAGGGAGGCCCUGCAUUCUAUGGGGGUGGGGCUACAAUAAUAACACCUCAGGAGCAUCUAGACAGUCCCAUAAUUAAGUAAAUUAAUAUUUCUCUGAUUAAAUAUAUGAAUAUUCAACCCCAGAACAAAAACAGUACAUUAGAUUAGGUUAUUAAAAGCAAAAUAACAUCCUUUACUUUUUGAGCAAUUUGGAUUGUCUGAGUUUUAGACUAAAGCACUAACAAGUACUGUUGAAGUGCUUCUUCCAAGUGCUUCACACGGAGGAACUACCAAAACCUUUCCUCUUUUCCAGGUUAGGAAACCAAGAGGGACAUGAAGUGACUGCUGCUGAGUGGUAGGGCUGGGAUCAACCUCGGGCAGGCUGGCAAGGAUCAGCUUCUAUCGGCUCUACUAUACUUACUGCCUCGCAAUCUUUGAGGGACCAACACCAUCAGAAGGAUUCACAGGUCUGAGGGUACUAGAAUGCCUGGAUCUAAGCAGGUAGACCAUGGCAAGACAGUGGUCAAGAAACAAUAUGGAAAGAAUGGAUGACAGAGGGAAAGGUAAGGAAGAGAUGAGAGGACUCCUGGAAGCCCUGCUACUUCCAUAGUGAAGGGGCAAGAACACUACAUUCAAAAGAUUGAGCCUUCCUGUGGGGUAUAGGUGCUGCUUCCUAUAAGAUCCUGUGUGUAUAGAGGGCUUUUCUUCUACCUUGGGCAAUAGAAUUAUACUGACUAGCUUCCUGAUUGGGAUCUUCUAGAAAGAUGUCUAUAUUCCAAACUAUCCAAAUCACUCUGAGGUGAAGACACUUCUGGAGUGUGGCAAGCUCAAGCUUCCUUCAGGUCAUAAGAGUGGAAGCUCGCAGGGUAGUGGUGGAGUACCUUUAAUCCCAGCACUCGGGAGGCAGAGCCAGGCUAGGUUGAGGCCAGCCUGAAAUACACAGAGAAACCCUGUCUCAAAAAACCAAAAGAGAAAAAAAGAGCAGAAGCCUCUCCUAGUCACCAGUGUUGUUGCUACAAGUGGACAUCCUCUGAUGUGCCCUCUGGCCAGUUACUGUCACUUUCCAAGCAAAUAACAUCUAGAGGGAAUCUAUGAAAAUACAUAGACUAUAUCAUGACAAAACACACAUUUAAACAAUCAAGAUCCAGGGAAGCUAAAUCUCUCAAACAGUGAGAUUUGUCUACACAAAGAACAUGCUGGGCAGCCAGGCGUUGGUGACACACACCUUUAAUCCCAGCACUCUGGAGGCAGAGGCAGGUGGAUCUCUGUGAGUUCGAGGCCAGCCUGGUCUACAAAGUGAGUUCCAGGACAGCCUCCAAAGCUACACAGAGAAACCCUGUCUCAAAAAAAAACCAAAAAAAAAACCAAAAAAAAAUGUUGAGGAUGUGACAGUGACCUGAAGGCCCUAAGGUACAAGAAAGGCACAAAAGGGGGAUAAAAUCCUAGGGGCAGAAGUCAGUAUGUGAGCAGGAGAUCCACCAAAACACAUAUACUAGGGUGUUUACAAACCAGGUAAACCUAGACAAGGCAUGGUGGCACAUGCUUGUAAUCCUAGCACUGGAGGACUGUGAGCUCAAAGCCAACCUAUGCUACAGAGGGAGAUUCUGCCUAAAAACAAUGUAUACUAACUCCUAAUGUGUUAAGUUACAAAGAUCUGGGGAUUAUUGAUUUUAAAAAAGCUAGCCUGCAUCAUGUGCCAUCCAGCUUUUCCCCAGGGUAACCUAAAAAUCUAGUUCAGUGCUUCUCAACCUUUGUACUACUGCUACCUUUUAAUACCAUUCCUCAUGCUGUGGUGACCCCCCAACCAUAAAAUUAUUUUCAUUGCUACUUGUCAUUUUGCCACUGUUAUGAAUUGUAAUGUAAAUGAAUUGUAAUAUAAAUAUCUGUUUUCUGAUGAUCUUAGGUGACCCCUGUGAAAACCCCAGGGGUUGCAACCCACAGGUUGAGAACCACUGGUCUAGAGGAUCUUGCCAAACCUCCAUCCAAGUUGAGCCUACAUGCUACUUUAGAUUUACUGUUUGUGAUACAAUGACCCUAUCACAAAAUGAGGAGAGAACUUGCCUUUUCAGGUGAUGCAACCCUAUGCCCAGACCGCAUAGCUUUGGAAAGGUUUGCCACCUGAAGCUCGGGUCCCACUUUCUUUGCUGUAUGCCCUCAUGAAGCCAGUUGAGGUUCAGAAUCUCAAUCUUUGUAUCCCGCAAGUACAAGUGGAAAAGACAUUCUUUGAGGAUUCAUUCUGCCUAUAUUUCUGAGAAAGCUACUUGAUUUCCUUGCCUGUAAAAUGGAAAUAAGACAGUCAAUUCAUCCCAUUUUACCCCAGGUACUCGACUUCAAAGUCAUAAAGAUUCUUCUUAGAAACGCCAAGGGCGGGACAAGAAAGCUUGGCCAGUCGGCACAGAUCCUGAAGCUGAUUCCAGGAUGAUUUGCAACAUACUCUGCAGCCUGGAAUGAGAAGGCCUAG
Cricetulus griseus (Chinese hamster) is the source of this 3148-nucleotide non-coding RNA. NCBI's taxonomy places the organism in Eukaryota, Metazoa, Chordata, Mammalia, Rodentia, Cricetidae. The record is from RefSeq and is a predicted model, not a curated record.